Molecule: non-coding RNA, 73 nt
Organism: Dryococelus australis
Lineage: Eukaryota; Metazoa; Arthropoda; Insecta; Phasmatodea; Phasmatidae
Source: the annotation of a GenBank genome assembly
GCCUCGGUGGCGCAGAGGGCAGCGUGUAAGUUUCGUAAUCUUACGGACGUGAGUUCGAAUCUCACCCGAGGCA